Molecule: ribosomal RNA, 643 nt
Filed under: Archaeospora trappei
Lineage: Eukaryota; Fungi; Glomeromycota; Glomeromycetes; Archaeosporales; Archaeosporaceae
Description: partial large subunit ribosomal RNA
Rfam family: Eukaryotic large subunit ribosomal RNA
Source: RNAcentral
GCGAGUGAAGCGGGAACAGCCCAAAUUUUAAAUCGGCAUUUGUGUGUCGAAUUGUAAUUUAAAGAGACGUACACCGCGUCGCGACUUGGUAAAAGUCCCUUGGAAUGAGGCAUCGCAGAGGGUGAUAAUCCCGUAGCAUUGCUGAUGUCGCGUGCGCCUUGUGUUGCGUCUUCAAAGAGUCGAGUUGUUUGGGAUUGCAGCUCCAAAUGGGUGGUAAAUUCCAUCUAAGGCUAAAUAACGGCAAGAGACCGAUAGCGAACAAGUACCGUGAGGGAAAGAUGAAAAGAACUUUGAAAAGAGAGUUAAACAGUACGUGAAAUUGUUGAAAGGGAAACGAUUGAGGCCAGUCGUGCUGGCGAGAAAUCAAUCGGUUUGGCAGUCCCAUGUGGGCGGUUUAUUCCGGUGCACUUUUUCGUUGGCUGGUUAGCAUCAGUUUUGUUUGUUGUAAAAUGGUAGUUGGAAUGUGACUCUUUCGGGAGUGUUAUAGCCAAUUUCAGAUGCAAUGAAUGGGACUGAGGAUUGCGGCAAAUGCCUUUGGGGUACGUACCUGUUCUCUGAACGGCCCACAAGUGAGCGACAGCUUGCUGAUGUUUAUUUGUUGGGCCCUCAACGGAAUAGAGUGUGUUAAAUUUGCCAAGGAUGC